Hippopotamus amphibius kiboko is the source of this 132-nucleotide small nucleolar RNA. RefSeq annotates it as small nucleolar RNA SNORA70. Lineage: Eukaryota; Metazoa; Chordata; Mammalia; Artiodactyla; Hippopotamidae. The transcript has a single exon. The record is from RefSeq and is a predicted model, not a curated record.
UUGCAGCCAGUUAAGCCAAAGGUGCUCUUUUCCCCAUGGGGAGCCAGAGUACAAAGGCUGCAAACAGCAUCCUCAGUAGUGCAUGCAGCUUGUUGCCUGUAUGUGUUGCCCUAAGGAACCUUGGAUACAGCC